UUAGGUAAAACCAAUGUAGGACUCACACUUUGAAAAUAAAACUCACAUAAAGUGGUGAAACAUACAUUAAUUUCACCCGA
Molecule: microRNA precursor, 80 nt
Filed under: Medicago truncatula (barrel medic)
Lineage: Eukaryota; Viridiplantae; Streptophyta; Magnoliopsida; Fabales; Fabaceae
Description: MIR5269 microRNA precursor family
Rfam family: MIR5269 microRNA precursor family
Source: Rfam by way of RNAcentral